RNAcentral lists this ribosomal RNA (366 nucleotides) under Staphylococcus aureus. RNAcentral describes it as "partial 23S ribosomal RNA". It matches the Rfam family "Bacterial large subunit ribosomal RNA", at positions 952 to 1323 of the family's 2925-position model. The record is from RNAcentral. Lineage: Bacteria; Bacillati; Bacillota; Bacilli; Caryophanales; Staphylococcaceae.
AACUCCGAAUGCCAAUUAAUUUAACUUGGGAGUCAGAACAUGGGUGAUAAGGUCCGUGUUCGAAAGGGAAACAGCCCAGACCACCAGCUAAGGUCCCAAAAUAUAUGUUAAGUGGAAAAGGAUGUGGCGUUGCCCAGACAACUAGGAUGUUGGCUUAGAAGCAGCCAUCAUUUAAAGAGUGCGUAAUAGCUCACUAGUCGAGUGACACUGCGCCGAAAAUGUACCGGGGCUAAACAUAUUACCGAAGCUGUGGAUUGUCCUUUGGACAAUGGUAGGAGAGCGUUCUAAGGGCGUUGAAGCAUGAUCGUAAGGACAUGUGGAGCGCUUAGAAGUGAGAAUGCCGGUGUGAGUAGCGAAAGACGGGUG